This 76-nucleotide non-coding RNA is filed under the name Serratia marcescens. RNAcentral's name for it is "Fluoride sequence". It matches the Rfam family "Fluoride riboswitch aptamer (crcB RNA motif)". The record is from RNAcentral. Lineage: Bacteria; Pseudomonadati; Pseudomonadota; Gammaproteobacteria; Enterobacterales; Yersiniaceae.
AUCGACCACGGAGAUGACAUUCCUCCCGCCCCGAUAGGGAUAAACCGCCUGACCGGCUGAUGAUGUCUGCGUAACC